AUGUGAUCUGCUCUGUUGUCUGCAGUAUGCAUGCAUGCAUGCAUCAGUGAGUUUCAGGCUCUUUGUUGGCUGGAUGGAGGCGGGGCGCUGCGGGGCCGCAGGUCCUUUUGUGCCCCUCACAUUUUGGGCAAAACCAGAACCACCGCGCUGCAGACGCGCCAAAAGCAUGAAACCGGACUAUACAAAAAUAAAAACUUAACAAGCAGCGAUGUCCGGUACAGCGAUGUGAUUUAAACACAGUGUUUGGGGAACGCUGUGAAAUUGUAGGUGAGUCAUAAACUCCUUGAUGGACAAGAAGAAAAACUUUAUAUGUUUUGAUUAUUAUUAUUAUUAUUUGUUGCGGUUAUUUAGUUAAGUGUCUUGUUAUCUUUAUAGACAUACGUUAUUUUUUGUGUUGUGCAUUUUUGUCUGCUGGACUGUUCGCUGGUCACCAGAUUACCCCGUUACUAAGCAACCAGUCCUCUAGAACAGUGAUUCUCAACUAGCAGGCGUUCGUCAGGAAUACUUGGAACGAUUACGAUUUCGCGUUGUUUAAAAUUUGAAAAGCAAAAGAAAACUGAAGUUAAACGUAAACUAUUUAUCUGUCAGUAGGGUAUGUUAAAAUAAAUAAUAGUGAAUAAUGCCAUUGAUGCCCGAAAUUAUCAACAUUUACGCAAACUGAACAUUGAUCCGACUCCAAAUUUGUUAAAAUUUUAUUAUUGCUUAUUAACUCAACCCACACAAUAAAAAUUUAGUUGUACAUAUUAAUACAAUAUAUCUUGUAAUAGCAUUGUUAUUGUAAAGGUUUUACAGGCUGAUACGUAUUAAUAAGUAACGUUACAUUAGGCUACUGACUGAUUGUCUUUUUUUAAGACAAAAAACGUUGCAACACUUUGGUGGGAAACAUGAUGUUGAGUAUACUUCAUAGUCAUAAAGUUUUAAAAGGUGCAAACAGUGUUUGGCUUCAGUGGCUUCAUGGGUUCCGAUACCUACCUGCCGCAUUGGCCCUCAUUUCUAAAUUCAAAUAUUUCACUUUUUUUUUUUUUUUAAACAAGCUAAACUUUUAAUUUAAAAAUAACUUUUUUAAAUGUCUCAAACUUAAUAUAUGAUAACUUAUUAUAGAGAGAGAGAAAAUAAGUGUAUUUGUGUUAAUGUGUGUUAUAGCUCUGAGGAGAACUCUGAAGUCUUUAGGAGAGUGUGUUUGUAGUCCCGCGGUCUGGCAGGUGUGGGAUGUUGUGCACUGUUGUUCAAUCUCCCGCCAAUAUUGCACUCGUCCCGGCCUCCCUGACCACGAGGAACACGCGACUCCCGCUGCAAUCUCCCGCCACGACAGCCGCUUAUGAAGAGCUCGAGCACUAGGGCGGCGCCAGACUGCAGGUUCUCCUCAUCCGGAGUGACACAGACGCUGGGUAAAUCUCUCAUCUGUCCUGGUUGUUUGGCCCCUCGCACACAGGAGUUCAGUGGCCCCACGCUGGGUUUCAGAGGGUCUAGAGAGAGAGACAGAGGGCGUCUCACUCCCCUCACACCUUUAUGUGCAUUAGAACCUGUUUACGGUGUGUACUGAAGUCCUCUGGAACAGUAUCUGGAAAAGAUAUGUUUCAUUUGCUUUGUGAGUGUGUUGUUUUAUUGUUGUAAUCCUCUUUUUUUUUUUGUCAAUAAACAACUUUUAUUCUGAA
This is a long non-coding RNA of Cyprinus carpio (common carp), 1655 nucleotides long. RefSeq lists it as uncharacterized. Lineage: Eukaryota; Metazoa; Chordata; Actinopteri; Cypriniformes; Cyprinidae. The transcript is spliced from 2 exons. The record is from RefSeq and is a predicted model, not a curated record.